This 384-nucleotide ribosomal RNA is filed under the name Eutropis longicaudata (Long-tailed sun skink). Its description in RNAcentral is "partial 16S rRNA". The stretch from base 270 to 384 matches the Rfam family "Bacterial large subunit ribosomal RNA", at positions 1797 to 1969 of the family's 2925-position model. The record is from RNAcentral. Lineage: Eukaryota; Metazoa; Chordata; Lepidosauria; Squamata; Scincidae.
CACAGCACCAAAACUUAUCAAUCCCACAAGAACCUUCAACCUCCUAGAAAACUACCGAGCUACUCUAUAACUUUAGAAGAACUGAUGCUAAAACUAGUAACAAGAAACCUUCUCUUGGCACACCCUUGUCCCAGAAAUAGAAAGCCUGCUGGAUAUUAACAGACCAAAACAGGCACAACACCCCAACUGUGCUACCAACUGUCAAACCGACACCGGAGUGCCAUUAAGACAGAUUAAAAGUUGUAUAAGGAACUCAGCAAAACUUGUCCCAACUGUUUACCAAAAACAUAGCCUUUAGCCAAAAAAGUAUUAAAGGUCCCGCCUGCCCAGUGAAAUUUUUUAACGGCCGCGGUAUUCUAACCGUGCAAAGGUAGCGUAAUCACU